CGUUAAAAGCGAGCACGGGAAAUCGGGCAAGGUCGAAUCGAAUUUCGUUAGAAGAGGGGAGCGAAGUGGUUGACAUGGAGCCGCCACGGCCACCACACACUUCUGAAUCGACUGUUCCCUCGCCUUCUGCGUCGGACGUAGCGUGCUCGAGCUUGAUGGCAGUGGAGGACGAAGUGGCCGAGAUGACAUUGACUGUGAAGUGGAGCGGAAAGGAAUACACAGUGAGGGUUUGCUGUGACGAUAGCGUGGCGGAACUUAAGCGGCGGAUCUGCGAGCUUACGAACGUUCUUCCUAAGCGUCAGAAGCUCCUUUAUCCGAAGCUUGCCAACAAGUUUGGCGACGAUUCUCUUAUGCUUUCCCAAUUCAAUCUUAAGCCCUCCAUUAAGAUGACCAUGAUUGGUACUGUUGAAGAUGAUAUUAUCAUAGACCAACUAGAUUCACCCAAAAUAGUUGAUGAUUUUGAUUUGGGCCAAGAUGAGAUUGUUGAUAUCAAAGACAAAGAUGUAAACAAACAGAAACUGAGGCGUCGGAUCAGUCAAUACAAGAUCAAACUUCGGAAUCCAUGUCGUGAGGGGAAGAAGCUGCUAGUUUUGGACAUUGAUUAUACUCUCUUCGAUCACAGGUCCCCGGCUGAAAGCCCUCUGGAGCUCAUGAGGCCAUAUUUGCAUGAGUUCCUCUCUUCUGUUUAUGCAGAGUAUGACAUCAUAAUUUGGUCAGCAACUAGCAUGAAAUGGAUUGAGCUAAAGAUGGGACAGCUCGGCGUAUUGAACAAUCCCAUCUACAAGAUAACGGCUCUUCUUGAUCAUCUGGCCAUGGUCACUGUUCAAACCGAUUCACACGGGACAUUUGAGUGCAAGCCACUUGGCCUAAUCUGGGCUCAUUUCCCUCAGUUCUAUAGUUCAAUGAAUACCAUAAUGCUUGAUGAUCUGCGAAGAAAUUUUGUUAUGAAUCCACAAAAUGGUCUUACCAUCAGACCUUUCAGGAAAGCCCAUCUGAAUCGUAGCAGUGACCAAGAGUUGGCUAAGCUUAGUCAAUAUUUACUGGCCAUAUCCGAGCUUCCUGAUCUGAGUUCGCUUAAUCACCGGGACUGGGAAUCAUACACAGAAGAUAGCUCUAAAAGGCGCAGACAAAGUUGAAAAAGUCGCGACGUUCCUUGCUAUAUGCAUGUUAGAUAAAUGAAGAUAUCUGGAGCUACCUUUUACUGAACAUGCAAUUUGGUGUGCUGCCAUCCUGUGACUUUACUGUCAUGGCUUGGUGCACAACCUUGGCGGCUGUUUCUUUCUCAUAUUAUUUGGACUUUCAUUUUGGAGGACUGGAUGUGCUUGGAACCUCUGUUAUUAUCUCUUGACCUUCUUGGUUGGUCCAAGCCUAGCAACUAGGUAGCGGUCUGAAUCCAGUUGCUUUUAGGGAUAUCAUUUUUCGUUGUUUUGUUUAGGUGGUUUUGGCCCUAACGCUUACUAUUUUUUCCUCUGGAUGUAUUCUUCUUUGUGGCUAUUUUUGGGCUUGUGACUUGUGUUGUAAUGCUCCUUUUA
RNA transcript from Dendrobium catenatum, 1532 nucleotides. It is a transcript of the gene named ubiquitin-like domain-containing CTD phosphatase, with no coding region annotated. The transcript has 8 exons. The record is from RefSeq and is a predicted model, not a curated record. Lineage: Eukaryota; Viridiplantae; Streptophyta; Magnoliopsida; Asparagales; Orchidaceae.